ACUUGAUGAAACUCCAUCUAUGCUGGUUUAAUAUUUAACGACUGUUUGAGUUUGGUUCCCCUUAGUGAUCAGGAUCAACUCCCCUCUGAUCCACAUAGCAGCACUCGACUUGACUGAACUGCAUGAAGGGACUUCCUCUGCAAGAUGUUAAACCAACGCUGUUACACAUUCUGAGUUACCCAACACAAGGUCACCGGUGACGGCAAACACACACAAUGUACGUUAACUCCUCUGCAGCCACCAGUGGAUCUUAUUCACUGACAUUCUUGGGAAAGAAAGUCGGGAGGCAUCACUCCGUGGCGCCGGCGGGCAAGCAGAUUGCAUGGGAAGCAACCGGGUCUUCCCGCCCCGAGGACUCUUUGGUGUCCUUGCAGUCUGGUCACAGUCCAACAUCAGCCCAGGCAAUGGGGGAUUUACCUGGCAGUGUACCGGAGCUGAGGGAGAAAAUGCCAUGUCCAAUAAGGCACAACAGGCUUGACCAGCAUGAAGACAACACAACAGGUGUUUCUGGGAGGAAAGUAACAGCAUGACGGCACACCCACAUUCCUGUGUGAGGAAACAUGGAGGGGAGGGGUGGGAUGGGACAGUGCUGGGAGGUAGCGUGAAAAAAGAGAGUGAUGUUAUCUUAAAAAAGUGAAUCCGUUUGGAGAAAAAAAGUCAGUUUUAGAUGAUGCUGGGGAUGCUGAUAGAGCUAAUAAGGGAAGUAAACAGGGACUAACGCCUUUGUCAAUUGUUAAAGUAGUACUGUUGGGUUUAAAAUUUAGAAAUGCAAGUGACAUCACUCUAUCACUCCACAAAAAUGUAAAAUAUGGCUGAAAAAUAAAUAAAAUGUAAACUGUUGCACUAAAA
Non-coding RNA from Oryzias latipes (Japanese medaka), 849 nucleotides. NCBI's taxonomy places the organism in Eukaryota, Metazoa, Chordata, Actinopteri, Beloniformes, Adrianichthyidae. The record is from RefSeq and is a predicted model, not a curated record.